CUUAGAAGCAUAGUACCAAACUUGUAUAAGCAAUACUAUCCAGGACUGGUAGACCUUUGACAGCUAGCUCUCGACUGAACCAGUUAGGACCCUUGUGAAGUGUGAUGAGCUCACCCUAGAGGGUAUCAAACAAUUCUUUGUUGCUGUUAAGAAAGAGGAGUGAAAGUUUGAUACGCUUUGUGAUCUUUAGGGUGGAUUGGUUUGCUAAAAAAAUGUGCACCAAUAACUUCACGAUAUUAGCUAUGCACAGUGACAUGCCCCAACAAGAAAGGGAUGCAAUUAUGGGUGAGUUUUAAGUCCGGCGCAACUCAUGUGCUGAUAACUACGGAUGUUUGGGCUCGAGGAUUGGACGUUCAGCAGGCAAGAAUUUGGACAUUUUUUUAUUUGAACCAUCUUUUAUACUGUUUGAGAAUGGCCUAAGUGAACAUGUCAUGUUUCUAUGUGUUUAUAUAUUAUUUGCUAACGCUUGAGAUAUUGACUAAAUUUCUUUCAUUUCCAUGUUUCACUUGUCAUAAAUUGUCAUCUCCCAAAUAAUCGUGAACUUUACAUCCAUCGCAUUGGUCGUUCUGGCCGUUUUGGAAGCAAGAAUCUGAAGGAUCUGCUGCUCCCCUGCCCCUUCCGACCUCUUCUAGCCCGCUACGGGGGAGCACGUGCCGGUCGAGGGCGGUCGAGCACGCGAUAGAGAUGGAGGCACCGGUGCCCGCGCCGGCUACCAUGAAUCUGGGGCAAGGGGGCAGAGGAUCUGGAGGCGGUGAUUGCGCGGCUUCGCCUACCUGUCUUCCUGCUGCCUACUUCUACUCGCGCUCGCACCAACCAAAGGAGCAAUCCCGCAGCUGAUGCCCCCAUAAAGGGUCUAGAGGGAAGGCGACGCCGGGAGACGGGGAAGGAGACACGGUGACCAUGUCUCAGAUCUGGGUGUUCGAGUACAGCUCGCUGAUCUGGAACCAGGCAUCACCCACGAUGCCCGCGUCGUCGGCUUCGUCUGGGACUACCACCACGUCUUCU
Zea mays is the source of this 1005-nucleotide long non-coding RNA. RefSeq lists it as uncharacterized. Lineage: Eukaryota; Viridiplantae; Streptophyta; Magnoliopsida; Poales; Poaceae. The transcript has 4 exons. The record is from RefSeq and is a predicted model, not a curated record.